AUUGAACGCUGGCGGCAUGCCUUACACAUGCAAGUCGAACGGUAACAGGUCUUCGGACGCUGACGAGUGGCGAACGGGUGAGUAAUGCAUCGGAACGUGCCCAGUCGUGGGGGAUAACUGCUCGAAAGAGCAGCUAAUACCGCAUACGACCUGAGGGUGAAAGCGGGGGACCGUAAGGCCUCGCGCGAUUGGAGCGGCCGAUGUCAGAUUAGCUAGUUGGUGGGGUAAAGGCCUACCAAGGCAACGAUCUGUAGUUGGUCUGAGAGGACGACCAGCCACACUGGGACUGAGACACGGCCCAGACUCCUACGGGAGGCAGCAGUGGGGAAUUUUGGACAAUGGGCGCAAGCCUGAUCCAGCAAUGCCGCGUGCAGGAAGAAGGCCUUCGGGUUGUAAACUGCUUUUGUCAGGGAAGAAAUCAUCUGGGCUAAUACCCCGGGAGGAUGACGGUACCUGAAGAAUAAGCACCGGCUAACUACGUG
RNAcentral lists this ribosomal RNA (482 nucleotides) under uncultured bacterium. RNAcentral describes it as "partial 16S ribosomal RNA". It matches the Rfam family "Bacterial small subunit ribosomal RNA", at positions 30 to 507 of the family's 1533-position model. The record is from RNAcentral.